This 877-nucleotide long non-coding RNA is filed under the name Pan troglodytes (chimpanzee). RNAcentral describes it as "long non-coding RNA NONPTRT010088". Lineage: Eukaryota; Metazoa; Chordata; Mammalia; Primates; Hominidae. The record is from RNAcentral.
GGCUGCCCUGAAUGAGUGAACUGAAGAAAAGUUUCUCUGUAAGGAGUGACAGACGACUGGACUCACAGAAGUAGGGGAGGCAUGAAUGGGAUAAAAUUUUUGAAUUUAUGUUCAACAUGUUUCCUGCAGAUUUAGUGGAGGAAAAAUCCACACAUACCCCCAUCCCAAUCCCCCAAAUUUUCUUCAACAUGCCGCUUCUGUUCUUGGAAGAGUUAACUGCCUCGCUUCUGCAUAAGAGUCCCAAACACUGAGAACUAGGGUGUCUUCCCCUUCCUUUCCUUCCAAAAAGGCCAGCAGCCUCAAGCAAGCCAAAGUCCUUUCCUCUUGAAUGCGUAGUCUUGUGAACUCCACUGUCUUCACAAACUCAGCAGCUGGUGGAAGCUCUCUGAAGAACUGAGACAGGAGGUGGCACUGCUCUGACACCAUCCUUUGAAGGUGACAGAGCAUCUCAGGGCUUGGGGGACGCCAGCCGGACUUCGAGAGGAGACAGAAGAGGUGCUUGCAGAGGCCACGAGGUCAUCACUCUCUCCCAACAGCCAUCCCAGCAGGAUGGGCAGUCCAGGGGCCAACUGGUCCCACUGCUGGAGCAGAUCACACAGGACGGCCAGGGCCAGGGCCAGAGCGAUGGAGGCAUCCACCUGGCAGAAGGCAAACUCUGCAAAGACAGGAGAAAGUGUCACCAGAAGGAUCAGGAAGGCUUCCCUGUCCAGUGUCUCCUCUGCACAUCUGCCUGGAUUUGACUGGUUUGUCCUUUCCUUGGAAAGCAGAUCUCUUGGGCACAAGACACAUCCUAGAGCAGGGCAUCGGCAAGCUUUUCCUUAAAGGGCCAGAGAGUCAAUAUUUUAGGCUUUGCAAGUCUAUACCUCCUCAACUCGGC